Molecule: non-coding RNA, 1936 nt
Organism: Python bivittatus (Burmese python)
Lineage: Eukaryota; Metazoa; Chordata; Lepidosauria; Squamata; Pythonidae
Source: RefSeq, a predicted model, not a curated record
AAUAUUUCUGGACCUGACUGUAUGUAUUUUUCACCUAGUCCAGGACUCCAAUUUUUAAAUUACUUUUUAAUUAUUUACUAACCAUAUUCACAUAAGGCCCUCUAAGUGGGCCUUACAAAUCCUUAUGAUUGUAUUACUUCUGGAUUUUUGUUUGUUUUAGAAUUAGUAUUUCAUUAAAUAGUCACUUAAUUGCCCUGUGAUUACAUUCAUAUAAUCAUGGCAAGUGGCCCAGAAUGCUGUUUCUGUUAUUACUCUUUAUCUUUUAUGACAAUUUAAAACAAAGAAACAAACUUCUGCACAUCAGUUUCUUUACAGUUUUAAACAGUAUUAAAAUAUGUGUAACGAAUUAAUAAAACUUUGUUAUAAUCACAACUCAGCAAUAUUACACAUAAGAUAUAUAGAACUCAAAAAGAGUGCUUAUACAGUAUCAUGUCUACAUAUAUCCAAAUUCACUAAUUUUGUAGGAAUGUUAUGAACAAUCCACUGUUAUCUCAGACAGGGCUUUACCUUCUACUGCACAGAAUUUGGCUACGUGUGCAAUGCACAUGUACGUAUGUCUGUAAUGGUAGUGCUAGGCUGCCUGUUUAACAGCAGGGGGGAGACAUUGUAAUUGACUGGACAACAAUUACUAGAGACAGCAAUUGUUAAGACACAUCUAGCUUCUUCAGCAGUGAGCAUGCUUGCUCCUCCGAGGAAAUCUUACUAAACAAACCUAGCAAGGCAGAUGGCAGAAUAUUAAAGCAGGCCCAAGAGAAAGUUCUAUGCUGUUUAGGCAGUUCUAAAGCUGUAAGAUAGCUGGCUUGAUACUGUUGUUCAGUUUCAAAGUCCUAACAUCAUUAACUACUAGAAGUAGACCAGUUUGCCAUUCUACAUCCAUAGCUCAUUGUUUUAAGACUCUCUCUACUUACUUGUAUUUCCUUGGUAACAAAAGCUCUGAUGAGACCAUGUGACAGCAAUUUGUCCAAUGAGGGUUUUUCCAUUGUGCCUCCUGUUUUAUUUGAUUGUUAAGGGGAUCAAGCCCGUUGGGCAAAAUUUUAGCUUUAGCCAGAAACUGAAAAUUACCAGCCAUGCUUGAAUCUCUACCCUAGGUAGAUCUCCUUCUACUCACAAAUUUGUACUUGUCAUACAUCAGGGAAUCAAAAGUUUUUGCUGACCUGACUCCAGUUGGAAUAUAGGCCAAACUGUGCUUUAUAGAAAGCUAUGUACAAUAAAGAACAUGUAAAAUCAAUAUUCCAAAAACAUAUUUUAAAUCGAUUUAUAUGUCAAGUUGUUUUUAUGGACAAAAAACAAAGGUUCCCUGGCAACUCCCCCCUCCCUUCCAACUUUUCUAAAGCACCUCCCCAUUUUGAUCAGCUUGAGUAAAUUUGGAAACCAUUCAAACUUUCUCAUUUAGGCUGGCCUUUGAAGGUAUAUCACUAUUGUUUGCUUUAUCUAUCUUUAUCCUAGGACUGUUGGAUUUGCAAGCAAAUCAGAAGCUAAGUAAAUAAUCUAGCCAUUAAAUUCAACAUUUUGAGGACUUGGCACUGAAUAUGUUUGAGUGAAAUCAUUAAUGCACUGUCUGUCUGUAUUUAGGUGCCAAAAGGUUUGCCUUACUUCUCUGUAGACUUUGGCCUCCAAGAUGGUUUUGCUCAUGUCAUUGAAGAUCAGUACAAGUUCCCCUUUUACUUUGGAAAGGAAAUAAUUGGUGGCAUGCUAGAUUUGGAGCCACGGCUUUGGAGAAAAGGACGACGAGAAAAUUUUGAAGACCAGAGAAAGAAAGUGUUGCAUUUUGCUCAGAAAUGGAAACUGUAUGACUUUACUAAAAGUAAAGAGUGAAAAUAUACAGCAGAUGCUGAUAUAUAUUCAAUCACUGGAAAGCUAAUGAACCAUCACAAACUAUAACAUUCUUUUUAUAGAAGAACUCAUGUUGAAAAUAAUAAAGAUGUUUUCCACAGUG